RNAcentral lists this ribosomal RNA (252 nucleotides) under uncultured bacterium. RNAcentral's name for it is "partial 16S ribosomal RNA". It matches the Rfam family "Bacterial small subunit ribosomal RNA", at positions 524 to 776 of the family's 1533-position model. The record is from RNAcentral.
UACGUAGGGGGCAAGCGUUGUCCGGAAUUAUUGGGCGUAAAGCGCGCGCAGGCGGUUGGUAAAGUCUGGUGUAUAAUCCUAAGGCUCAACCUUAGGCCGCACUGGAAACUGGCUAACUAGAGUGUAGGAGAGGAAAGUGGAAUUCCACGUGUAGCGGUGAAAUGCGUAGAGAUGUGGAGGAACACCAGUGGCGAAGGCGACUUUCUGGCCUAUAACUGACGCUGAGGCGCGAAAGCGUGGGGAGCAAACAGG